Molecule: long non-coding RNA, 417 nt
Organism: Leptopilina boulardi
Lineage: Eukaryota; Metazoa; Arthropoda; Insecta; Hymenoptera; Figitidae
Exons: 2
Source: RefSeq, a predicted model, not a curated record
GUUGUAUUGCUCGAUUAUGUAUCCAAUGUCCAUGUCACUAUUGCGUAUAUAUACAGUGAUGCCUCUCCAAGAAUGAUCGGACGAUUUAAUACAAGAUUCAAUAUAAAAGUUACAGGUGAGAAGCAUGGAAUACAAGAGCUGGCGAAGCACAAAGACGAUAAGGAAGCUCCGCAAGGGAGAAUGUGGAGGUGAACAAGAGAAGAAGUAGAAGAAGAGGAACAAGAAAUGGAAGAAGACCAAAAGGAUCAACAACCUAAAGGCACUCCUAGCAAUAUAGCCGGCAUGUUACAACUAUCCACCAGUAAAAUCAAGAGAAUUGUCACUGAUAUUAUGCAUAAUUUUUUCAAAAUAGUAAUUUUAAAUUAUAUCCCAUGGGAAAUUGAUUUUAGAAUAUAACAUAUACAAACUUUUUAACAA